GUCACGCGGGGAUGUCCAGUGUGUAAACACAGAUCCUCUGAGAGCAGAAAGCGUGCAGUUCUCUAGGACAGCAGCCGCGUCUGGGCCCAAGGCUGGCUAACUAGCAGGCUGAGUGAGGCUCGACGGAGGGCGCCUUACGCGGGCACUUCCAUGACUCCCAGGUUCUGACGGCACAAGAGCCCUGAUGCCCACGCUCACGGACAGUUCCCCGCUGGAGCGGGCAGGGGACCUGACCCUACGACACAGGGCGUCCUGUGUCAGAGGCAGGAGGCUGAGGACACAGCUGCGCAGAGCCGCCCAGCAGAGGUUACCCGGAUAACGAUAAGUGGUCCCCGCGACGCCCCUUAAGUCUCUGGGGUUAUCUGGAGCGCAGGUUUGCAGACCCGCUGCCCCCGCGGUGGGCCAGGUCCACGGGGCCGGAAGAUAGCAGGAUCUGUCCAGCCCUCGGGCUGCGGCGGCUGCUCGCGGAGCCCACUCUCCCCGACGGUCCCCAGCUUGCUCCAGCUCUGCCUGGAGCUCCCAUGCGUGCCCUCCGCAUCCGCCCUGGCCGCCCAGUCACACACCUGCAGUCCCCGCCGGGCGCCGAGCCCCUCUCCAGCGGCGACUCCCUGCGAUUCGGGUGACCGUCGGGACCACCGCGCCCCAGCUGGAGCCGCGCGGCGAG
This 664-nucleotide long non-coding RNA is filed under the name Homo sapiens (human). Its description in RNAcentral is "lncAB239.1". The record is from RNAcentral. Lineage: Eukaryota; Metazoa; Chordata; Mammalia; Primates; Hominidae.